RNAcentral lists this ribosomal RNA (253 nucleotides) under uncultured bacterium. Its description in RNAcentral is "partial 16S ribosomal RNA". It matches the Rfam family "Bacterial small subunit ribosomal RNA", at positions 524 to 776 of the family's 1533-position model. The record is from RNAcentral.
UACGUAGGGUCCAAGCGUUAUCCGGAAUUACUGGGCGUAAAGAGUUCGUAGGCGGAUUUUUAAGUUAGAUGUUAAAUAUACAGGCUCAACUUGUAUGCUGCAUCUAAUACUGGAAGUCUUGAGAGUGGAAGAGGUAAGCGGAAUUUCCGGUGGAGCGGUUAAAUGCGUAGAUAUCGGAAAGAACACCAAUGGCGAAGGCAGCUUACUGGGCCAUUUCUGACGCUGAGGAACGAAAGCGUGGGGAGCGAUCGGG